AGAACGAACGCUGGCGGCAGGCUUAACACAUGCAAGUCGAACGCUCGUAGCAAUACGAGAGUGGCAGACGGGUGAGUAACGCGUGGGAACAUACCCUCCGGUUCGGAAUAGCUCAGGGAAACUUGGAUUAAUACCGGAUACGGCUGAGAGGCGAAAGAUUUAUCGCCGGAGGAUUGGCCCGCGUUCGAUUAGCUUGUUGGUGAGGUAACGGCUCACCAAGGCGAUGAUCGAUAGCUGGUCUGAGAGGAUGAUCAGCCACAUUGGGACUGAGACACGGCCCAAACUCCUACGGGAGGCAGCAGUGGGGAAUAUUGGACAAUGGGCGCAAGCCUGAUCCAGCCAUGCCGCGUGAGUGAUGACGGCCUUAGGGUUGUAAAGCUCUUUCGCUCGGGACGAUAAUGACGGUACCGAGAUAAGAGCCCGGCUAACUUCGUGCCAGCAGCCGC
Molecule: ribosomal RNA, 446 nt
Filed under: uncultured bacterium
Lineage: Bacteria
Description: SSU rRNA
Rfam family: Bacterial small subunit ribosomal RNA
Source: RNAcentral